RNAcentral lists this ribosomal RNA (285 nucleotides) under uncultured bacterium. RNAcentral's name for it is "partial 16S ribosomal RNA". It matches the Rfam family "Bacterial small subunit ribosomal RNA", at positions 337 to 619 of the family's 1533-position model. The record is from RNAcentral.
GCCUACGGGACGCAGCAGUGAGGAAUAUUGGUCAAUGGGCGAGAGCCUGAACCAGCCAAGUCGCGUGAGGGAAGACGGUCCUAUGGAUUGUAAACCUCUUUUGCCGGGGAGCAAAAAGCGGUACGUGUACCGCAUCGAGAGUACCCGGAGAAAAAGCAUCGGCUAACUCCGUGCCAGCAGCCGCGGUAAUACGGAGGAUGCGAGCGUUAUCCGGAUUCAUUGGGUUUAAAGGGUGCGCAGGCGGGCCUUUAAGCCGGCGGUGAAAUCGCGGGGGCCAACCCCCCC